Aegilops tauschii subsp. strangulata is the source of this 2014-nucleotide non-coding RNA. The record is from RefSeq and is a predicted model, not a curated record. Lineage: Eukaryota; Viridiplantae; Streptophyta; Magnoliopsida; Poales; Poaceae.
CACAUCGACAGAUUAAUCAUUACACUAUCAUCAAACAAUAAAAAUAUUGUACAUGCAUCACUUUUAAAGUAAUUUUAUCUCGAUGCAAUUGUUGUUGUUCCUUCGUAGCAUCAAUGUUUAGGGCAAAAUUGUGUAUAAGGUAGUUGCAAGUUCCUCCCUACCGCAUCCAACAUUUCCAUCUUUAGGGAUGUCAUGGGCAUGUCCAUCUUUAGGGAUGUCACGGACAUGUAAAUGUCUGUGUUUUGGCCUGGAUUGUUUAUUAUGCACUCAUAUGAACCGGGACCAAUAUUGCUUGAAGACAAUUUAUUUUAUAUUUACUUUACUGGUGGUGCAAGCAUAUAUGUUUCCGCCGUGUGUGCCCUAACCUAUGUUAGCCCAACAUUGUCUAAUCAUUAUCCAUGAAUGUAUUGUGUUGUUUUCUUUUUAGUUUUUGUGUCCUAGUAGAUAGCAAGUAUGAGUUUCGUGAGGCACAUAAACAGAGUUAAACUUAUCUUUUUCUAAGAUCAAAUUCAACCUUAAAACAAAAAGGCAACGUCUGCAUUAUUCGGAGAACAAAGACACACGCUAGCACGUCCGUGUGAUGCAUCUGGAGAUUUUUAUCGGCCUGUGAACAAACUACUUAUAUUACAAAAAAAAGAAAUUGAACCUGUGAACAUGCGUGCGUGCAUGCUAGCUAGCCUCACACGUUGGCUGGUCUGGAAGAAACCAGCCGCGUCGCUGGCGCUUUUCCAGUCUGGACUCGUCGCCUCGCAGAGCUUAUCUCCUCAGCUUCUCUUGAGUAAUCCACAUCCCCCGACCUCCACCUACUGCCCAGGUAGCACGACCUCCCCACAUCUCCCCGCAUCACUCGCAGCCCUGGGACACGCCGCCACUGCCGCAUGCGCCCGCCGUCGGCACUCCACCAGAUCUCCUGCACCACCGGGCAUGGCGCGGGCUCCACACCAGCUCCCCCCGACACUCCGCCGGAUCUCCCGCACCACCACCGGGCCAUCCAUGGCGCGGGCUCCAACACCCGCUCCCCCCGCUUCCCCGGGCAUGGCGCGGGCAGUUGGGCGGCCAUGCUCAUGCCCAGCACCGGUAGUCUCGGUGCGCGUCCCGGUUUUCGUAUUCAGAUUGGCUCUCUCCUCCCUUGGCUAGGCAUCCAGUGCUGCUUUUUCUCUGGGACUUCAUGCACUUUCUCUUUGUUUGUUCGUGACAGUUGAGCCGUCUCUUCCAGGAGGUCGCGCAUCGGAAGAAGGCCGUCUCCCCCAAGAAGAAGUACCGGCGGCCUACCCUCGUCGCCACUAUCCGCCGCCGACCGUACCUGGAUGGAUGCCUCCUCGAGGCCAAGCUUGUGCGUGGCUGCGGCAAUCCGGCUUUCUUGGCAUCAACACAGUCUGCAUACAUCCAUGCGCAUUGUCGGUUGUGCAUUACGGCCUCUGCUUCCCUUCGUCGCGCCUGAUGCAUGCCAUGGCGCCCGCGCCCUCAAGCUCCAGCAGCAGCCCCGCCUUCCCGCGUCGCGCCGCAGCCCGCGUUCCUCUGCUUCGACCGCGCCCUCGCGCCCGACACUCGCGCCGGCCCCUCGCCACACCGGCGACCACCAAGAACACCGCCACCUCCUCGCCUCCGCUUAGUGCAUGUCGGCAGGAGCGCCACCACCAUACUUCCUCCUGACCACUGCGGCAAGCAGCAGCGCCUUCCUUGGCUUCUGCGGCGUGGAUGCCGGCGCCAAGCGGCGGCGUGUACCCAUCAGUGGAGGCUGCGGAUGGAUAAGAGCCAGUACAAAAUAAGGAUUAAGGACUGCAGGCUGAAUUCCAACUAAUGCAGGGUUUUUUUUGCAAAAACAAAACGUUUUUCUAGAGUGCCACUUAAACAGGGACUGCAGGUUGAUUUCAAAGGAACGUAGGGGCUUUUUCAUAAAAACGCCGACAACGUACGACCAGAAGCAAUAUUUGCUUUAUUAGUAGGGAAAGAUAUGUUUGUUUGAUGUUUUUAUUAUGUACUUCCACCUUACUAAAGAACUGGUUCACCGAAA